GACGAACGCUGGCGGCGUGCUUAACACAUGCAAGUCGAACGGAGAGGCCCUGCGUUCGUGCGCUGCUCGAGUGGCGAACGCGUGAGUAACACGUGUGUAACCUGCCCUUGACUUUGGGAUAACUUCAGGAAACUGGGGCUAAUACCGUAUAGGAUCUCCUGCAGCAGGGUGGGGGUUGGAAAUUUGCGGCGGUUGGGGAUGGAUGCGCGGCUUAUCAGCUUGUUGGUUGGGUAGUGGCUUACCAAGGCAUAGACGGGUAGCCGGCACGAGAGGGUGACCGGGGACAUGGGGCCUACGGUACGCAGCAGACGCGUACAGGAGACAGUAGUGGGAAGUAUGACCCAACGGGCCGGAGCCUGAGACAAAGGCGCCGCGUGCGGAAAGCCGGCCUUCGGGGUAAGAACAGCUUUAGGUUGUGACGCAGCGUUUGUGACGGUAAUGAGUAAAGAAGCACCGGCUAACUACGUG
This 468-nucleotide ribosomal RNA is filed under the name uncultured bacterium. RNAcentral describes it as "partial 16S ribosomal RNA". It matches the Rfam family "Bacterial small subunit ribosomal RNA", at positions 28 to 507 of the family's 1533-position model. The record is from RNAcentral.